Molecule: long non-coding RNA, 440 nt
Filed under: Homo sapiens (human)
Lineage: Eukaryota; Metazoa; Chordata; Mammalia; Primates; Hominidae
Description: non-protein coding lnc-RAB2A-1:1
Source: RNAcentral
GUGAAGUGUUCCCUCAGUUCACAUAGACCAGGCUUCCUCUUUAGAGGCAUAAGCUGUAAAACAGGAGAGUCUGUUUUAAGAGGAUCUGUUUGAAGUUUAAUGUAACUGAAGUCCAUGCACCUGAAGCCAUUAAUUGAUAUAAGUGAAGUAAGUCUUUGGGUUUCCGGUAGCUCUGACUCAGAUUCUGCUUGCCUCUUCUCCAUGAGAUUACCAAGGCAUCAGGGCAGAGACUCCCUGAGGAUGAGUGGAUCUGGUUCAGAACAUCUGUGAACACAGAGGGAGUGGAAACUUCACUUUCAACAUCAUCAGCCAACUUCCCUCCCAUUACAAUUCUAUCUCAAGAUCAAGGUCAUGCAACAAAACCAGCAGGUGUGAUUCUUUCUCUCCGAUCAACUCACUUUGUUUUUUCUAUUUUUAUGCUCUCUUGAGCACUGUAUAAU